RNAcentral lists this transfer RNA (68 nucleotides) under Phelsuma abbotti. Its description in RNAcentral is "tRNA-Tyr". The record is from RNAcentral. Lineage: Eukaryota; Metazoa; Chordata; Lepidosauria; Squamata; Gekkonidae.
GGGCGGUAAAGGGAUUAUUCCCUGUACACGAGGCUACAACUCGCCACCUACUACUCGGCCAUACUACC